CUGAUUGUGGAUUUGACUGUCUCGCAUCUAUAAAGCAAUUGAUACUAAACUUAGUUUAGAGUGAUUUUUGAUGGUUAGACAUUUAAUAAGACAAAAGAUGACUUGUUCCUGCAUUAAUUUUUCUUGGGGGAGUGUUGUGGAAGGAACCCUCUAAAGGAAUAAGUUCAUUCAUUACUCAGAAGCUUUAUAGGUUUUUAUUAUGUUUUAUUUACAUCUUGUGGUUAACUGUACUUCUCCUAUCUUUAGGAGUUCACUAAUAAUCUGAUUGAGGAGGAUGAAUUUGAUGCAGAUCAAAAGGAUGCAUUUAAGAAUUUUGUCAAAGACAAUGUCCAAGAGGCAAAAAAAGCCAAUAGACAGGCUAGAGAAGCCCGAAAAAAGGCCUUGCAGAAAUGAGUUAGUAGACUAAAGCAGCAUUUGAAAACAUGAAGUUUAACAAAUUCUACUCAGUGCAGAUCGAUGAUACUCCUGACAUAUCAAAUGUUAAGGCACCGUUUAUAAACAGGUAUUAUGGGAAAGCUCAUGAAGUUCUGUGAUUGGGCUCAUCAACCACUAGUAUUUCUACUACAAAAGAUGCCAAUUGGUUUGCAUUGGGGACUAUAGCUAGCUACUGAUUCCAGGAUAUGUUUCAUGAUGAAAGUUCAGAAUGGAACCCUAAAUGUGUGCUGAAUCUGGUGGUUCUUUCUCGGUUUCUCAAGUUUGUCUUAUCUUUCCAAUUUAUGUGCUUUGUUAGAAGUUCUAAUUUUGUCCCAUCAACAUUAUUUCUUGUAUUCCCAAAAGGUUCAAUUCUGCCAAUGCCAUGAAAUACAAAUAGUUAUUGAUCA
Molecule: long non-coding RNA, 821 nt
Organism: Vitis vinifera (wine grape)
Lineage: Eukaryota; Viridiplantae; Streptophyta; Magnoliopsida; Vitales; Vitaceae
Exons: 4
Source: RefSeq, a predicted model, not a curated record